GAUGAACGCUAGCGGCAGGCUUAACACAUGCAAGUCGAGGGGUAGAAGCAGCUUGCUGCUUUGAGACCGGCGCACGGGUGCGUAACGCGUAUGCAAUCUACCUUCUACGGGGGAAUAGCCCAGGGAAACUUGGAUUAAUACCGCAUAGUUCCUUAAUCUCGCAUGAGGUUAAGGAUAAAGAUUUAUCGGUAGAAGAUGGGCAUGCGUGACAUUAGGUAGUUGGGGGGGUAACGGCCCACCAAGCCGACGAUGUCUAGGGGUUCUGAGAGGAUGAUCCCCCACACUGGUACUGAGACACGGACCAGACUCCUACGGGAGGCAGCAGUGAGGAAUAUUGGUCAAUGGGCGCAAGCCUGAACCAGCCAUCCCGCGUGAAGGAUGAAGGCCCUAUGGGUCGUAAACUUCUUUUAUAUACCAAGAAAACGACCUACGUGUGGUCUUUGACGGUAGUGUAUGAAUAAGCAUCGGCUAACUCCGUG
This 479-nucleotide ribosomal RNA is filed under the name uncultured bacterium. RNAcentral's name for it is "bacterial SSU rRNA". It matches the Rfam family "Bacterial small subunit ribosomal RNA", at positions 28 to 507 of the family's 1533-position model. The record is from RNAcentral.